This 115-nucleotide non-coding RNA is filed under the name bovine gut metagenome. RNAcentral's name for it is "FMN riboswitch (RFN element)". It matches the Rfam family "FMN riboswitch aptamer (RFN element)". Rfam says of the family: The RFN element is a highly conserved domain that is found frequently in the 5'-untranslated regions of prokaryotic mRNAs that encode for flavin mononucleotide (FMN) biosynthesis and transport proteins. This element is a metabolite-dependent riboswitch that directly binds FMN in the absence of proteins. The record is from RNAcentral.
UUCUUCGGGGCGGGGUUUAUUUCCCCACCGACGGUUAAAGUCCGUGAACGGAAAGUAUUUUCCGCCGAUUCGGUGAAAUUCCGAAACCGACAGUAAAGUCUGGAUGAGAGAAGAA